ACAGCCUUAUGUCACAGGUCAAGUUGGCCUUCAGGGAAAGAGGGCCUUCUCUGAGGGGAGGCUGCCUCAGGGGCUUUGACAGGACCAACAUUCUUAGCCUGGUCUCUCUGAAGAGCAGACUUGCACGUACAGAAGAAAGUGCUGGAAACUUAUUGGAGAACAUUAUAAGGGAUGAUAUGAGAGUACUGGAUGAGAAAGAACAGGGCUGAAGAGAAGGAGUGGCUAUAAUCUCAGUGGAGGAAGGGGUCUUCAGAGUGGACCCCAGUCCUUAUUAUCUGUGGGGUUCUUCAGAAAAGAAGCUGGGACUUAGGGUUCGAAGUUUGUGAGCGCCCGACUCGCCAGCAAGAAAAACGCCACAACAGGAUCCUUCUGCACACGUUCACCGACAUACUCCAGAGCCCAGCGGACUCCACCUGCCUCUUUAUUAUCAGUAGAAGAGUGAGCACCUAGCAACACAAAAUUGAAUCUUUUUGCUGCUUUGGCACCAGGAUACCCAUGGCAACUUGCUUGUGUUUCUGUGGUGUGACCUUCUAUGGCUGUUUUAUGAACCUGCGUGUAUUCUCCAAGAAGUAGAGCUCCACACAGGAAGCAUGAGACAGUGGUGCUGGGACACGACAGGAGGUGAUGAGCAUUUUCAGAAGAGCUCAUGCUAUGAGUGCUGAGAUCCCACUAGUAUAGGAAAUCCUGGUGCCUGUCAGGAUGUAGGUGACUGUCGACAGAAGUUAAAUAGCCCAGAGUUCUGCAGUUGCUCCUAGAAGAUGUCAAAAAUUACCUGUUGUUGAACGCCUUUUUCACAAUGCAUCUGCCUUCCAGUUUGUUUCUAAUGUGCCCUCCAUGGAAAAGGCAGAGCAAAUUUUCCCUUUGUGGGUGCUGAAGAUGUCUGGGUACUUGCUGCAAUGAGAGAGGCAGUAGAAUUCAUUGCAUGUCCCUGCUUUGUGAACACUCAAGAUUGCUGCUCUGUUUCAUUACUCAUACACUGCAUCUACGGGGAGCUCUGUGUCAUCAUUACAACCUUUGAGAAUUCACUGCUGGUCCAGUGUCAAGAAUGAACGGCGAGAGGACAAGUGAGAAUCUAAGUACUCAGUGAGACCGAGCAUUGAAGGCUGAGAAGUAAGGGGCUGGCAGUUGAUAACAAGCUGAUUUCUGAAAGCUCAACCUGGGGUGUGGAAGAGGAGCUAAAAACGAACCAGUUGUGAAGCCUCAGAUCCCUUCUGCAUCACCUCUUUAGGACUCAACUGCCCUCUUUGCAAAAGUUGGGAAUUCACAAGCAUCACAACAGACCUUUGAAGAUAGAGUGGGCAAGAGCCAGUCCCCUGAGAUUCAGCAUUUGUUCAUUUAACAAAUAUUUUCC
This 1351-nucleotide long non-coding RNA is filed under the name Mus musculus (house mouse). Its description in RNAcentral is "RIKEN cDNA 4932411K12 gene". The record is from RNAcentral. Lineage: Eukaryota; Metazoa; Chordata; Mammalia; Rodentia; Muridae.